CGCCCUGCUAAGAAGCAUGUGUGCUUGUACAAAGGCCGUUCAGCCUCGGGAUUUACACUCGGCUCGACACGGAUAUGUGAAGAAUGAAGGGACCCUGCAGCGAAACGGAGAGCCAACCUCUGACUGAGUGCCCGUUUACUCAGUCUGACCACCUGUUGAAGGGCUGUUUGAUGACGAUUUGGACUCCUCUGGGAGAUGAGGACACACCCACAUCUGUUCCAUACUGCAGCCAUGGAUGGUGUUACGGCUCUGAGUCAGCUUUGGGCCAUCAGACGCACACACUGGAAAACCAGCGCCUGUACUUCAUGCAGGAGAGACGGCCUCAGUGAUAAUUCAUCAGCAGCUGUGGAGAGAUGUAUUUGAAUAUCUUCUGUUUCCACUUUUCUUAACCUGGAAGCUGAGGAUGGCUGAUUCCUGACAAGGACACACACCUCAGCGCUUAUCAUGGGUGUUACAUCCUCUGUGCUGCAAUUCCAGAGAAAACGAGAGAGCAACGACCACUCAUUAAGACCAGCCAGAAAUCUGUCCCUUUCUGGCAGCUGUGAAAACUUCCAAUAAGAAAGUUUGCAUUCUUAGAACAAU
Long non-coding RNA from Pelmatolapia mariae (spotted tilapia), 582 nucleotides. RefSeq lists it as uncharacterized. The record is from RefSeq and is a predicted model, not a curated record. The transcript is spliced from 3 exons. NCBI's taxonomy places the organism in Eukaryota, Metazoa, Chordata, Actinopteri, Cichliformes, Cichlidae.